AAAGUCAGUCAUCAAACACAAAAAAAUCCGGACUGUCAACGCGAGCUGUCACUGGCUUUUCUUCGUGUUUUCUCUCUGUGGGUCAUAUGACAUCAAAGGAUCAAGUGACUGACUGAUUGUGUAUUCUGCGAGGAAAAACUCGGAAAAACUCCCCCAGCAGUGUCGGAACUGUGUUUACGUUUCAGCCAACAUCCGCCAAGAUGCGAUACACUCUCGGUUACUCCUUCACUGGCACCCUGGUCUCGGUGUCAACAGUGUUGAUCCUGUACCACGUCCUGACGGGCAAAGGGGAACGGGUCAGCGUCGGAUGGUUCCUGGAGGAGACCUCCCCCUACAUGUGGGCCACCCUGGGCAUCGGAUUUGCCGUCGCGCUGUCCGUCGUCGGAGCGGCCAUGGGAAUCCACACGACCGGAGUCAGCAUCGUUGGCGGGGGUGUCAAAGCGCCCAGGAUCAAGACCAAGAAUUUGAUCUCGGUUAUCUUCUGCGAGGCUGUUGCCAUUUACGGUCUGAUCACGGCUAUCGUCCUGUCCGGUAUGUUGGAAAGCUUCUCCUGGGGAACGAUUGUGGCCAACGAGAACGUCCGGUACAACAACUGGUUCUCCGGUUAUGUAAUGUUCGGUGCUGGCCUGGCCGUCGGUCUGGUUAAUCUGUUCUGUGGUAUCGCUGUCGGAAUUGUGGGUUCCGGUGCUGCUCUGGCAGAUGCGGCCAACUCUGCUCUGUUCGUCAAGAUUCUCAUCGUGGAAAUCUUCGGAUCGGCUAUCGGUUUGUUCGGACUGAUUGUUGGCAUCUACAUGACCUCCAAGGUUAAGAUGGGAGACAAGGAGUAAGCGAGGGAGCAUAAUGACCAAGAUUGGGAUUUACAAUAUGCUCCAUUCAAAAGUAGAGGGAAAGUAUUACUUGCAAACAAGAACAAGCAGUCACAGUCACUUAUUUAAGAACCAACAAGCACAGAUUAAUCAAGGGCCAUUCCAAAUCAACUUAAUAUAUAUGUAAUGUAUGCCAAGACUCGUACCAACCGUAAGUCGUCUAUAUUUUCCGUAUACAUAAACAUGUCAUAGAAGAAAAAAAACCUCAAACGAAAUAUUUCCAAUUCUUUCUCUUUAUAUACGGAGAGCACUGUUUAUGAUAUGUAAAUUGGUGAAUAUUGUUUUGUUUUACAUUUAUUUUAUUUUACUAAAUAGUGCCGACAAAAUCGGACAAAAAUUGUUCGUCUAUUGUAGCAUACAAACAAAAACAUUAUCGAUAAGCUUCUACCGUUAGUUCUCGUACAGGUGGUGAAAUUGCAACAGCUUGAAUUCAUCUGCAUAUGUAACGAACGCGAAAUUAAAAAGUCAUCAUUUGAAAUACAUGUAGUUCAACAGCCACCCCCAAAA
This is an RNA transcript of Aedes aegypti (yellow fever mosquito), 1373 nucleotides long. It is a transcript of the gene named V-type proton ATPase 21 kDa proteolipid subunit, with no coding region annotated. The record is from RefSeq and is a predicted model, not a curated record. The transcript has 3 exons. Lineage: Eukaryota; Metazoa; Arthropoda; Insecta; Diptera; Culicidae.